Molecule: transfer RNA, 74 nt
Filed under: Nannochloropsis granulata
Lineage: Eukaryota; Eustigmatophyceae; Eustigmatales; Monodopsidaceae
Description: tRNA-Pro
Rfam family: tRNA
About the family: Transfer RNA (tRNA) molecules are approximately 80 nucleotides in length.
Source: RNAcentral
CGGGAUGUGGCGCAGCCUGGUAGCGCGUCUGUUUUGGGAACAGAAGGCCGGGGGUUCGAAUCCCACCAUCCCGA